GAACGAGAAAGUGGAGCAAUCCAUGAGUAAAGUGGCGACCGGGUGAGUAACACGUGACUAACCUACCUCCGAGUGGGGAAUAACUCCGGGAAACCGGGGCUAAUACCGCAUAACAUCGCAAGAUCAAAGCAGCAAUGCGCUUGGAGAGGGGGUCGCGGCUGAUUAGCUAGUUGGCGGGGUAACGGCCCACCAAGGCGAAGAUCGGUAUCCGGCCUGAGAGGGCGCACGGACACACUGGAACUGAAACACGGUCCAGACUCCUACGGGAGGCAGCAGUGGGGAAUUUUGCGCAAUGGGGGAAACCCUGACGCAGCAACGCCGCGUGGAGGAUGAAGCCCUUUGGGGCGUANACUCCUUUCGACUCGGACGAUAAUGACGGUACGAGUGGAAGAAGCACCGGCUAACUCUGUG
RNAcentral lists this ribosomal RNA (411 nucleotides) under uncultured bacterium. RNAcentral's name for it is "bacterial SSU rRNA". It matches the Rfam family "Bacterial small subunit ribosomal RNA", at positions 64 to 507 of the family's 1533-position model. The record is from RNAcentral.